This 452-nucleotide ribosomal RNA is filed under the name Acricoactis brachyacontis. RNAcentral's name for it is "partial 16S ribosomal RNA". It matches the Rfam family "Bacterial large subunit ribosomal RNA", at positions 1955 to 2460 of the family's 2925-position model. Lineage: Eukaryota; Metazoa; Cnidaria; Anthozoa; Actiniaria; Acricoactinidae. The record is from RNAcentral.
AGUAGCGUAAUCAAUAGCCAAUUAAUUGUUGGCCGGUAUGAAUGGCAUCACGAAGGCCCCGCUGUCUUAAGAGGACUCUCCAUGAAAUUGAAUUCGUAGUGAAGAUGCUACGUCCAUAUUGUAAGACGAAAAGACCCCAUUGAGCUUUACUAAAGACUUGUAUGGCUCGAAAUAACUUAAAUAAAAAGUUUAGAUAAUGUGGGAUCCGUUUUUGGUUAAUGAAACACCACUCUUUUAUUUUAAGAGAGCUAACCUUGUAGGGAGAAUGCAAGUUGGAUAGUUUGGUUGGGGCGACCACCUUUUAAAAGGUAACGAAGGUGAGCUUAAGGUCCGUAGUUAAUAGCUAGUGGCCUGACUGCAAGGGGGACAUCCCGAGCAGACACUGGUAAUCUCUCAGUGGGUUAUAGUGACCCGUCAUCUUAGAGUGGAAUAGUUGACGAUCAACGAAUAAA